UGCUGGAGCGGCCGCCUCCACAGCUGCCUGUGGUGGGAUCCGGUUGAAGAGGAAGCGGAGGCGACACUCUCCUCGGCCCCCUUGCCUCGGUCUUCUGUGGACCUUCAAGGGGAAGCACAGUACUUGCUCACGUGUUGCUAGAGGAGGAGUGGACAACACCAGAAUGAGUCUGCAUGGUGCUAGUGGGGGACAUGAGAGAUCAAGAGACAGGCGGAGGUCAAGUGACCGAUCACGAGAUUCAUCUCAUGAAAGAACAGAAUCUCAGCUCACUCCUUGUAUUCGAAAUGUUACUUCUCCAACAUGACAGCACCAUAUCGAAAGAGAAAGAGAAAAAGAUCAUAGUUCUUCUCGUCCAAGCAGUCCUCGUCUUCAAAAAGCAUCUCCAAAUGGUUCAGUUAGCAGUGCUGGGAGCAGCAGCAGAAACAGUAGUCAGUCAAGUUCAGAUGGCAGCUGUAAGACAACCGGGGAGAUGGUGUUCGUAUAUGAAAAUCCAAAAGAAGGCGCUCGGAAUGUGAGAACAUCAGAACGAGUGACGCUAAUAGUGGAUAACACUAGAUUUGUUGUGGACCCAUCCAUUUUUACUGCACAGCCAAAUACAAUGUUGGGCAGAAUGUUUGGGUCUGGCCGAGAGCAUAAUUUUACACGUCCCAAUGAGAAAGGAGAGUAUGAGGUUGCAGAAGGAAUUGGUUCCACUGUAUUUCGAGCCAUUCUGGAUUACUAUAAGACAGGAAUAAUUCGUUGUCCUGAUGGCAUAUCUAUUCCUGAGCUGAGAGAAGCGUGUGAUUAUCUCUGUAUCUCUUUUGAAUAUAGUACUAUUAAAUGUAGAGAUCUCAGUGCCCUGAUGCAUGAGUUGUCAAAUGAUGGUGCUCGUAGGCAAUUUGAAUUUUAUCUUGAAGAAAUGAUCCUUCCUCUCAUGGUAGCUAGUGCCCAGAGUGGGGAGCGAGAAUGCCAUAUAGUGGUGCUCACGGAUGAUGACGUAGUCGACUGGGAUGAAGAGUAUCCACCACAGAUGGGUGAAGAGUAUUCACAAAUUAUUUAUAGCACAAAAUUGUAUAGAUUUUUCAAGUACAUUGAAAACAGAGAUGUGGCCAAAUCAGUUUUGAAGGAGAGGGGUCUUAAGAAGAUUAGAUUGGGAAUAGAAGGUUAUCCUACAUACAAAGAAAAAGUAAAGAAAAGGCCUGGAGGCCGCCCAGAAGUCAUUUACAACUAUGUCCAAAGACCCUUUAUUCGAAUGUCCUGGGAGAAAGAAGAAGGAAAGAGUCGGCAUGUAGACUUUCAGUGUGUAAAGAGUAAAUCUAUCACCAACCUGGCAGCAGCUGCUGCAGACAUUCCCCAGGACCAGCUGGUAGUCAUGCACCCCACUCCACAGGUGGACGAGCUGGACAUCCUUCCCAUCCAUCCCCCUUCUGGCAGCAGUGACCUCGAUCCUGACGCUCAGAACCCAAUGCUGUGACGCUGUCGUUGAAACCGUAGCAUGCUACUCUUCUCAGUCUCAUUCCGCACUGCAAGGCCGCUCUCCUUCAUUGUGAGGUGCACAUGUGUAGGGUAUUGCAGUGUAGGUAUUUUUGAAGACCAAAGGCAGCUGAAUGGUUUUUUUAAAUGAGUACAACUCUAGCAUCCUGAGGUUCCAGUUAUAAAAAUGUAUUUGUUUACCAGUAGAUUUGUGAAAUUGGUUCUUUGUAUGGGGAAUAGUCCUUUUUCACACAUAUAGGUCUUUUCAGAAGUGAUGGAAAUUGGUAGCUGGGGUGUUUUCAACAAAGACUGAUAUUCAUCAUACCCCAGAUAAAAGGCAGAUUAUUAUAUAGUUGCACUUUAUAAAUGGUGGUUAAUUGGAAUUGUUCAAGCCAUUUUAGAGUUGUGAUGUAUAAUAUAACUUAAGUGCUUCUAUCAAAGUUUUCCUUCAGUAAAAUGUUUAUAGUUUGCUGCCCAUGGUGAAAAAAUAGUAUUUAUCUUGGGCUUAUUUGAAUGGUUAGGAUGAGAUUUAGUGCUCAUGUCUUACUGGUUCACUCACUUCUAUCCAGUGCCGUUUCACCCUUUCAGAGUGAGUCACAUGCAGGGAGUGUGAACAUCAGAGGUGGUUUAUUAUCCAGUCUGCCUUACCCUUAAUCUGUUCACAGAUACUUAUUACUAAUGCUUUUUUUCUUAAGCGUUAUGAGAUAGGAAAAUGAAGUGUUUGCUCUUCAUUUACUAAAUGAUUGUAAACUCAAGUUUUUCAUCGAAAUAAAAUUCCAUUGGUUUU
This is an RNA transcript of Octodon degus (degu), 2239 nucleotides long. It is a transcript of the gene named BTB/POZ domain-containing protein 10 pseudogene, with no coding region annotated. Lineage: Eukaryota; Metazoa; Chordata; Mammalia; Rodentia; Octodontidae. The record is from RefSeq and is a predicted model, not a curated record. The transcript has a single exon.